This 115-nucleotide ribosomal RNA is filed under the name Chlorella sorokiniana. Lineage: Eukaryota; Viridiplantae; Chlorophyta; Trebouxiophyceae; Chlorellales; Chlorellaceae. The record is from RNAcentral.
AACUUUCUUGACUUUUUGAAAAAAGUGAAACACCCGAACAAAGCCAAAUUCGAUAAGUGACCCCUUUUAUUGCCAUAUGUACUGCAAAACGUGGGAGACGUGGUAAAAGUCAAGA